UACGUAGGUGGCAAGCGUUGUCCGGAUUUACUGGGCGUAAAGGGCGUGCAGGCGGUCUGUUAAGUCUAGGGUGAAAGCUCCCGGCUCAACUGGGAGAGGUCCUUGGAUACUGGCGGACUUGAGGGAUGCAGAGGAAAGUGGAAUUCCCGGUGUAGUGGUGAUAUGCGUAGAUAUCGGGAGGAACACCAGUGGCGAAGGCGGCUUUCUGGACAGUUCCUGACGCUGAGGCACGAAGGCCAGGGGAGCAAACGGG
This 253-nucleotide ribosomal RNA is filed under the name uncultured bacterium. RNAcentral's name for it is "partial 16S ribosomal RNA". It matches the Rfam family "Bacterial small subunit ribosomal RNA", at positions 524 to 776 of the family's 1533-position model. The record is from RNAcentral.